AAUAAACGCUGGCGGCGUGCCUAACACAUGCAAGUCGCACGAGAAAGGCUUAACUUCGGUUGGCCGAGUAAAGUGGCGCACGGGUGAGUAACGCGUAGGCAACCUGCCCUCGUGUUCGGGACAACAGUGCGAAAGCGCUGCUAAUACCGGAUACGCCCCCGGGACGGGAGUUUCGGGGUGAAAGUCGGCCUCUCUAAAGAAGCCGGCGCACGGGGAUGGGCCUGCGUCCUAUCAGCUAGUUGGUGGGGUAACGGCCUACCAAGGCAUCUACGGGUAGCUGGUCUGAGAGGAUGAUCAGCCACACUGGCACUGGAACACGGGCCAGACUCCUACGGGAGGCAGCAGUGAGGAAUUUUGCGCAAUGGCCGCAAGGCUGACGCAGCAACGCCGCGUGGGUGAAGAAGGCCUUCGGGUCGUAAAGCUCUGUCGGGUGGGAAGAACCGCCUGUUGGUGACAAGCCGGCAGGUCUGACGGUACCACCAGAGGAAGCACCGGCUAACUCCGUGCCAGCAGCCGCGGUAAUACGGAGGGUGCGAGCGUUAUUCGGAAUUAUUGGGCGUAAAGCGCGUGCAGGCGGCCAGACAAGUCUGAUGUGAAAGCCCCGGGCUUAACCCGGGAAGUGCAUUGGAAACUGUCUGGCUUGAGUACUGGAGAGGAAGGGGGAAUUCCCGGUGUAGAGGUGAAAUUCGUAGAGAUCGGGAGGAACACCAGUGGCGAAGGCGCCCUUCUGGACGGUUACUGACGCUGAGACGCGAAAGCGUGGGGAGCAAACAGGAUUAGAUACCCUGGUAGUCCACGCUGUAAACGAUGAGCACUAGGUGUAGCGGGUACUCAUUCCUGCUGUGCCGUAGCUAACGCGUUAAGUGCUCCGCCUGGGGACUACGGUCGCAAGACUAA
This 897-nucleotide ribosomal RNA is filed under the name uncultured delta proteobacterium. RNAcentral describes it as "bacterial SSU rRNA". It matches the Rfam family "Bacterial small subunit ribosomal RNA", at positions 28 to 897 of the family's 1533-position model. Lineage: Bacteria; Deltaproteobacteria. The record is from RNAcentral.